CCUACGGGCGGCAGUGGGGUAUAUUGGACAAUGGGCGAAAGCCGGAUCCAGCCAUGCCGCGUGUGUGAAGAAGGCCUUCGGGUUGUAAAGCACUUUCAGUGGGGAAGAAAGCCUUGGGGCUAAUACCCUCGAGGAAGGACAUCACCCACAGAAGAAGCACCGGCUAACUCCGUGCCAGCAGCCGCGGUAAUACGGAGGGUGCGAGCGUUAAUCGGAAUUACUGGGCGUAAAGCGCGCGUAGGCGGUCUGAUAAGCCGGUUGUGAAAGCCCCGGGCUCAACCUGGGAACGGCAUCCGGAACUGUCAGGCUAGAGUGCAGGAGAGGAAGGUAGAAUUCCCGGUGUAGCGGUGAAAUGCGUAGAGAUCGGGAGGAAUACCAGUGGCGAAGGCGGCCUUCUGGACUGACACUGACGCUGAGGUGCGAAAGCGUGGGUAGCAAACAGGAUUAGAUACCCCUGUAGUC
RNAcentral lists this ribosomal RNA (462 nucleotides) under Vreelandella stevensii. RNAcentral's name for it is "partial 16S ribosomal RNA". It matches the Rfam family "Bacterial small subunit ribosomal RNA", at positions 338 to 795 of the family's 1533-position model. The record is from RNAcentral. Lineage: Bacteria; Pseudomonadati; Pseudomonadota; Gammaproteobacteria; Oceanospirillales; Halomonadaceae.